AUUAGAUGAGCCUAUAUUAGAUUAGCUAGUUGGUGGAGUAAUAGCCUACCAAGGCAAUGAUCUAUAGCUGAUCUGAGAGGAUGAUCAGCCACACUGGAACUGAGAUACGGUCCAGACUCCUACGGGAGGCAGCAGUGGGGAAUAUUGGACAAUGGGCGAAAGCCUGAUCCAGCUAUGCCGCAUGAGUGAAGAAGGCCUUUGGGUUGUAAAGCUCUUUUAGUGAGGAAGAUAAUGACGGUACUCACAGAAGAAGUCCUGGCUAACUCCGUGCCAGCAGCCGCGGUAAUACGGAGAGGGCUAGCGUUAUUCGGAAUUAUUGGGCGUAAAGGGCGCGUAGGCUGAUUAAUAAGUUAAAAGUGAAAUCCCGAGGCUUAACCUUGGAAUUGCUUUUAAAACUAUUAAUCUAGAGAUUGAAAGAGGAUAGAGGAAUUCCUGAUGUAGAGGUAAAAUUCGUAAAUAUUAGGAGGAACACCAGUGGCGAAGGCGUCUAUCUGGUUCAAAUCUGACGCUGAGGCGCGAAGGCGUGGGGAGCAAACAGGAUUAGAUACCCUGGUAGUCCACGCUAUAAACGAUGAAUGUUAAAUAUGGGACG
RNAcentral lists this ribosomal RNA (592 nucleotides) under Wolbachia sp. RNAcentral's name for it is "bacterial SSU rRNA". It matches the Rfam family "Bacterial small subunit ribosomal RNA", at positions 220 to 829 of the family's 1533-position model. Lineage: Bacteria; Pseudomonadati; Pseudomonadota; Alphaproteobacteria; Rickettsiales; Anaplasmataceae. The record is from RNAcentral.